Molecule: ribosomal RNA, 190 nt
Filed under: Bifidobacterium sp.
Lineage: Bacteria; Bacillati; Actinomycetota; Actinomycetes; Bifidobacteriales; Bifidobacteriaceae
Description: partial 23S ribosomal RNA
Rfam family: Bacterial large subunit ribosomal RNA
Source: RNAcentral
ACGGCCGGUUGGCUACGUUCGGGAGGGAUAACCGCUGAAAGCAUCUAAGCGGGAAGCCUGCUCCGAGAUUAGGAUUCCUUGGACCCUUCGGGGUCCUGUAGCCCGCAUGUUGAACACGUGUUCGAUAGGCCGGAGGUGGAAGCCCCGUGAGGGGUGGAGCCGACCGGUACUAACGGGCGAGGACGACCCU